RNAcentral lists this ribosomal RNA (465 nucleotides) under uncultured bacterium. RNAcentral's name for it is "partial 16S ribosomal RNA". It matches the Rfam family "Bacterial small subunit ribosomal RNA", at positions 28 to 507 of the family's 1533-position model. The record is from RNAcentral.
GACGAACGCUGGCGGCGUGCUUAACACAUGCGAGUCUAACGGAAAGGCCCUGCUUGCCGGGUACUCGAGUGGCGAACGGGUGAGUAACACGUGGGUGAUCUGCCCUGCACUUCGGGAUAAGCCUGGGAAACUGGGUCUAAUACCGGAUAGGAGCCAUUUUUAGUGUGAUGGUUGGAAAGUUUUUUCGGUGUAGGAUGAGCUCGCGGCCUAUCAGCUUGUUGGUGGGGUAAUGGCCUACCAAGGCGGCGACGGGUAGCCGGCCUGAGAGGGUGGACGGCCACAUUGGGACUGAGAUGCGGCCCAGACUCCUACGGGAGGCAGCAGUGGGGAAUAUUGCACAAGGGGCGCAAGCCUGAUGCAGCGACGCCGCGUGGGGGAUGACGGCCUUCGGGUUGUAAACGCCUUUCGCUAGGGACGAAGCUUUUUGUGACGGUACCUAGAUAAGAAGCACCGGCUAACUACGUG